GAUGAACGCUGGCGGCGUGCCUAAUACAUGCAAGUCGAGCGAACAGAUGAGGAGCUUGCUCCUCUGACGUUAGCGGCGGACGGGUGAGUAACACGUGGAUAACCUACCUAUAAGACUGGGAUAACUUCGGGAAACCGGAGCUAAUACCGGAUAAUAUAUUGAACCGCAUGGUUCAAUAGUGAAAGACGGUUUUGCUGUCACUUAUAGAUGGAUCCGCGCCGCAUUAGCUAGUUGGUAAGGUAACGGCUUACCAAGGCAACGAUGCGUAGCCGACCUGAGAGGGUGAUCGGCCACCCUGGAACUGAGACACGGUCCUGACUCCUACGGGAGGCAGCAGUAGGGAAUCUUCCGCAAUGGGCGAAAGCCUGACGGAGCAACGCCGCGUGAGUGAUGAAGGUCUUCGGAUCGUAAAACUCUGUUAUUAGGGAAGAACAAAUGUGUAAGUAACUAUGCACGUCUUGACGGUACCUAAUCAGAAAGCCACGGCUAACUACGUG
Molecule: ribosomal RNA, 497 nt
Filed under: uncultured bacterium
Lineage: Bacteria
Description: partial 16S ribosomal RNA
Rfam family: Bacterial small subunit ribosomal RNA
Source: RNAcentral